Molecule: transfer RNA, 73 nt
Filed under: Ailuropoda melanoleuca (giant panda)
Lineage: Eukaryota; Metazoa; Chordata; Mammalia; Carnivora; Ursidae
Rfam family: tRNA
About the family: Transfer RNA (tRNA) molecules are approximately 80 nucleotides in length. Their secondary structure includes four short double-helical elements and three loops (D, anti-codon, and T loops). Further hydrogen bonds mediate the characteristic L-shaped molecular structure. tRNAs have two regions of fundamental functional importance: the anti-codon, which is responsible for specific mRNA codon recognition, and the 3' end, to which the tRNAs corresponding amino acid is attached (by aminoacyl-tRNA synthetases). tRNAs cope with the degeneracy of the genetic code in two manners: having more than one tRNA (with a specific anti-codon) for a particular amino acid; and 'wobble' base-pairing, i.e. permitting non-standard base-pairing at the 3rd anti-codon position.
Source: Rfam by way of RNAcentral
ACCUGGCUGGCUCACUCAGUGGAGUGUGAGACUCUUGAUCUCAGAGUUGUGGGUUCGAGCCCCAUGUUGGAUG